RNAcentral lists this transfer RNA (88 nucleotides) under Magnetococcales bacterium. RNAcentral's name for it is "tRNA-Leu". It matches the Rfam family "tRNA". From Rfam's summary of the family: Transfer RNA (tRNA) molecules are approximately 80 nucleotides in length. Their secondary structure includes four short double-helical elements and three loops (D, anti-codon, and T loops). Further hydrogen bonds mediate the characteristic L-shaped molecular structure. tRNAs have two regions of fundamental functional importance: the anti-codon, which is responsible for specific mRNA codon recognition, and the 3' end, to which the tRNAs corresponding amino acid is attached (by aminoacyl-tRNA synthetases). tRNAs cope with the degeneracy of the genetic code in two manners: having more than one tRNA (with a specific anti-codon) for a particular amino acid; and 'wobble' base-pairing, i.e. permitting non-standard base-pairing at the 3rd anti-codon position. Lineage: Bacteria; Pseudomonadati; Pseudomonadota; Magnetococcia; Magnetococcales. The record is from RNAcentral.
GCCCAGGUGGUGGAAUUGGUAGACACGCUAGACUCAGGAUCUAGUGGCCAUUGCGGCUGUGGGAGUUCAAGUCUCCCCUUGGGCACCA